Molecule: ribosomal RNA, 621 nt
Filed under: uncultured bacterium
Lineage: Bacteria
Description: bacterial SSU rRNA
Rfam family: Bacterial small subunit ribosomal RNA
Source: RNAcentral
GAUGGAUAGGGGUUCUGAGAGGAAGGUCCCCCACAUUGGUACUGAGACACGGACCAAACUCCUACGGGAGGCAGCAGUGAGGAAUAUUGGUCAAUGGCCGAGAGGCUGAACCAGCCAAGUCGCGUGAGGGAUGAAGGUUCUAUGGAUCGUAAACCUCUUUUAUAAGGGAAUAAAGUGCGGGACGUGUCCCGUUUUGUAUGUACCUUAUGAAUAAGGAUCGGCUAACUCCGUGCCAGCAGCCGCGGUAAUACGGAGGAUCCGAGCGUUAUCCGGAUUUAUUGGGUUUAAAGGGUGCGUAGGCGGCCUUUUAAGUCAGCGGUGAAAGUCUGUGGCUCAACCAUAGAAUUGCCGUUGAAACUGGGGGGCUUGAGUAUGUUUGAGGCAGGCGGAAUGCGUGGUGUAGCGGUGAAAUGCAUAGAUAUCACGCAGAACCCCGAUUGCGAAGGCAGCCUGCCAAGCCAUUACUGACGCUGAUGCACGAAAGCGUGGGGAUCAAACAGGAUUAGAUACCCUGGUAGUCCACGCAGUAAACGAUGAUCACUAGCUGUUUGCGAUACACUGUAAGCGGCACAGCGAAAGCGUUAAGUGAUCCACCUGGGGAGUACGCCGGCAACGGUGAAA